GGGGACAACAGCUGGGAACGGCUGCUAAUACCGCAUAAGCGCACAGGACCGCAUGGUACGGUGUGAAAAGAUUUAUCGGUGUAAGAUGGACUCGCGUCUGAUUAGUUAGUUGGCGGGGUAACGGCCCACCAAGACAACGAUCAGUAGCCGACUUGAGAGAGUGAUCGGCCACAUUGGGACUGAGACACGGCCCAAACUCCUACGGGAGGCAGCAGUGGGGAAUAUUGCACAAUGGGGGAAACCCUGAUGCAGCGACGCCGCGUGAGCGAAGAAGUAUUUCGGUAUGUAAAGCUCUAUCAGCAAGGAAGAUAAUGACGGUACUUGACUAAGAAGCUCCGGCUAAAUACGUGCCAGCAGCCGCGGUAAUACGUAUGGAGCAAGCGUUAUCCGGAUUUACUGGGUGUAAAGGGAGCGUAGACGGCAUGGCAAGUCUGAUGUGAAAGCCCGGGGCUCAACCCCGGAACUGCAUUGGAAACUGUCGUGCUGGAGUGCAGGAGAGGUAAGCGGAAUUCCUAGUGUAGCGGUGAAAUGCGUAGAUAUUAGGAGGAACACCAGUGGCGAAGGCGGCUUACUGGACUGUAACUGACGUUGAGGCUCGAAAGCGUGGGGAGCAAACAGGAUUAGAUACCCUGGUAGUCCACGCCGUAAACGAUGAA
RNAcentral lists this ribosomal RNA (656 nucleotides) under uncultured bacterium. RNAcentral's name for it is "bacterial SSU rRNA". It matches the Rfam family "Bacterial small subunit ribosomal RNA", at positions 139 to 813 of the family's 1533-position model. The record is from RNAcentral.